GAUGAACGCUGGCGGCGUGCCUAAUACAUGCAAGUCUAGCGAACGGACGAGAAGCUUGCUUCUCUGAUGUUAGCGGCGGACGGGUGAGUAACACGUGGAUAACCUACCUAUAAGACUGGGAUAACUUCGGGAAACCGGAGCUAAUACCGGAUAAUAUUUUGAACCGCAUGGUUCAAAAGUGAAAGACGGUCUUGCUGUCACUUAUAGAUGGAUCCGCGCUGCAUUAGCUAGUUGGUAAGGUAACGGCUUACCAAGGCAACGAUGCAUAGCCGACCUGAGAGGGUGAUCGGCCACACUGGAACUGAGACUCGGUCCAGACUCCUACGGGAGGCAGCAGUAGGGAAUCUUCCGCAAUGGGCGAAAGCCUGACGGAGCAACGCCGCGUGAGUGAUGAAGGUCUUCGGAUCGUAAAACUCUGUUAUUAGGGAAGAACAUAUGUGUAAGUAACUGUGCACAUCUUGACGGUACCUAAUCAGAAAGCCACGGCUAACUACGUG
This 497-nucleotide ribosomal RNA is filed under the name uncultured bacterium. RNAcentral describes it as "partial 16S ribosomal RNA". It matches the Rfam family "Bacterial small subunit ribosomal RNA", at positions 28 to 507 of the family's 1533-position model. The record is from RNAcentral.